Molecule: long non-coding RNA, 2356 nt
Organism: Diospyros lotus (date-plum)
Lineage: Eukaryota; Viridiplantae; Streptophyta; Magnoliopsida; Ericales; Ebenaceae
Exons: 4
Source: RefSeq, a predicted model, not a curated record
UCGGCUCACAACCGGAGAAACCGCGGUUCAGCCGAUCUCCUGAAUGAUUCACACGGGAAGAAACCAGAAGGUGGAUGAUUCCGACAGUAAGGAUCAGCCGUAGGCAUCGUUCCGGCGACGGCAGCUGAAUUAAGUUACCGUCCCUCGGCUCGAUAAGGACUUGCUCUGCCGCAAUUUGCAUGCAGAUCACAGAGGACGCGCUCAUCGCGGCGUGUGGCCUCGGCUUCUGCUCAAUGUGCAUCGUCAUUCACCCGCCUCAACGUGAGCGAUUGCGCUUCCUGUGAACGUUCUCCUCUCACCGUCAACCAGCUCUUCUCCAAUUCCUCCUCGACUAGUUGUUGCACCAUUUGGCAAACCACCCACAUUAGCAGGAAGACAGGGAUACCCAGGCACUCGUGGAGAAGGUUGCAGUGAAGGUCUAGAGCACUCCAAUCUGACUGCUAUUCGCAUGGUGCAGAUGACUAAGGUCAUUGCUGAACUUGGGCAGGGAGAUUUUUUCACUUGGCCAAUACUGUGUCAAGAUCUCCACCUCAACUCUCAACUGCUCAGUGCUAUGUUAUCACUUUCAGGCAUCAGGCAUCUGGGCAUGAAUGUGGUAAGUGAGACGAAAGUUAAUUAUUAAUUAUGAAAUAAAUUUUUAGACUGUUAUAGUAAAAAAUUUUCAAGCUCAAGCUUAACGCUAGAAAUGGUGAAUAUUAGAGGUUAAUUUGUCAUUCACUCUUGAAGGUUUCUAGGAACAAUAGGAGCAUAAAGUGCUUCAGCUUUCAUAUAAGCUAGCGUUUAGUAGCACAUCUUUUGUGUUUGAGGUUGGUCGUAAUGACAAGCCAUUAAUAAGACAAAACCAAAUUACAUAAAAAUAGGCAAAUUUUGGACCUGAGAUUAGACUGGCUUGUCUUUUGGUUUUACACAGUCACAACUCUUGGAAUAAGUACAGUAUACAACUUCGAAAAUUGUGAAGCUUGUGGUCCUUUCUGAACCCCACCCAACCAUGCACCAAGAGAACGAUGAAGAACUAAAUUCAAAGUUUUGAUCAAUCAUAAUUCUAAAUUGCAUAAAAAAUGGGGACCAUAUGGAACUUAGGAUUUAAGAAAUCAAAUAUUAUAGAAAUUAUUAAGAUACAUCUUUGGUUCGUUUUAUUAUAUAUAUAUUUUCUUAAAAAGCUCCUGCAACAAGUAAACUGCAAAUUUAAUCACAUAGUUAGUUGGAAAAGAAAUUUGAAAUAGAAGAGAUGAAAACAUUUGAGUGAUAAAAACAUCAAAAUGAAAAAUCAAGGAAAAGGAUUUGUCCGUAUUACUAUAAUAAUAUUACUUUUCGACUAGGCACAUAAUAGACAACAUAUACAAGGAUUAUCUCACACCACCCACGAUAUAUUGAGUUUCUUCUUUACAUUGAAACUCCUCACUCGCAAAAAUCUAAAUUCAUUUGGUUGAUUGAUAGAAACAAAGUAGGCAUCUUUCUAUCUAAUAAGAAGUUGAUCAUUUAGUUUCAUACAUCUUUAAUGUUGUAUACAUCAAGUUGAGAAACAAGAAACAAAUAUCAUACAAGAAGUAUACAUUCAAGGAAACUUGAAAAACCAAGAACCUAACUCUCAUACAUAAACCUAACAUUAGGUUAUUUGAAGAGUAACAAAAGACGAGAACUUUUACAUACUAAUUUGAUGACAUACAUUGUGAUUGUGAUUAUAAUGUUACUAAAAAAUUUAAAUAUUGGCCAAGGACUUGCAAGGUCAAGAAAACUCAAAUGGCCAUCGUAGUAUUAAAAAAAAAACUAUAAAAAUAUAAAAAGAAUAAGCUCAAGAGGGAUAGCGCCAAGACUUGUCUCACAUCUCGUGUGGCUUCCUGGAUCUGUAACCUUGAUCUGGAUGAGCCAUGAGCAAGAGAGCUGGUGUUCCAUCGGCCAAAUGAAGCAUGGUUAGAGGAUGAUGUGCGUGUGAGAGCCAAGUUUUGGAGGAAAUGGCUCCUAGGGUUGACAGAGCUUGUUGAAACAGUGCCAUGAGAUAAUACAUGAGGAAUGGCGCGCAGCUAUUUAUACUGCAAGUUUCUGAGGGUAUAAUUGACUGCCUCAUAAAAGAUAAGGUUGAUGUGUCAUUUUCUACUGGUAAUGCAGAGGGACAUGAUGGAUAAUGAAAGUUUGUUUUCUUGGUUGGAGAUGUCAGCCUCCAUUUCCCAAUUUGCCAGGUUUUUUCUUUUUCAAACCAGCUUCUUGUAGGUUGCAUGAAUUACUGUAAUAUGCAUGUCAAAUGAACCUAACACUUUCAAGCCAAAAAAACAAAAACAAAAAACCGAACACUUCAUAUUACAUCUUUUAUCAAAUUGUUAUGAAAUAUUCCCUGUUGCUGAAAGGGAAAUUUAUGAGC